This 29-nucleotide non-coding RNA is filed under the name Mus musculus (house mouse). The record is from RNAcentral. Lineage: Eukaryota; Metazoa; Chordata; Mammalia; Rodentia; Muridae.
UGACUGGGAGACAAAGUGCAUUCCUAGGU